Perca flavescens (yellow perch) is the source of this 669-nucleotide non-coding RNA. The record is from the annotation of a RefSeq genome assembly. NCBI's taxonomy places the organism in Eukaryota, Metazoa, Chordata, Actinopteri, Perciformes, Percidae.
ACAGAUGAUAAAGAGGAAGGACCAAUGAUGUGAAGGCCCAGAUCCAUCAGAGUAUCAAUGCUCUUCCUCUCUCUCCUCCCCUCUCACUGCAGACAUGAAACACUGGCUGACUAACAUCCUGAUUCUGACUCUCUGGCUAGAGUGUAAAGGAGAAGACAGAGUGACCCAGCCAACAAGAGAUUUCAUUACUACUGAAGGAGAGACAGUUACUCUUGACUGUACAUUUGAGACCAGUGCCACAUUUCCCUAUUUGUUCUGGUACAAACAAGAAGUCAAUGAUUACCCAAAGAUGCUGCUGCGACGUGUAAAAACAGAUAAUUCUAAAGAGCAAGAGAGAGUUGAUGCAACAAUCAAGGAUAAGUCCUUUCCUCUGAAGAUCCAGAAGCUUCAGCUGUCUGACUCUGCUGUGUACUACUGUGCUCUGCAGCCCACAGUGACAGGAAACACCAAAACUCUGUACAAAAACCUUUGGAGCAAAGACAACACAAUACUCCACAACAUCCACCAGAGGGAGUCACACACUGUUAAACUUCAAUAUUUUUCAUGAUGUAGUCUAGAAUCACUUCAUGGAGAGACUCAGGGAGGAGCUGAGCUGUUACUGAACUAUAGAAGAGAGAGGAACUUCUAUAUUCAACAGAGUUCAAUACACAAACCAUCAACAUUACCUUU